GGGGAGGCUAGAGAUAGCAAGCCGAUAAUUAGUAAUAGGCUAUUUUCGUCAAGAGGUUAGGUUAAGGGUAGACCAAGAAAGUUUGCAUGGCAAUAUUAUAAAAAAGCGAAUUAAAUAAGAAGAGUAGAUAUUUGAGGGCGGAUAAGAUGAAAUUGUAAACCUCAACAACACCAUUCAUCCAUAGUUUCUUUUAGCCAAUUGAUUCACUGCAUUUUGCAUUUUUAUUUUCGUCUUGUAUUCAAAAACCUAAAAUUAAUUUCUUCGCAAGUCUUAUGCAAUCUAUUUACACGAAAGUUAAGGCCUAAGAGUCCUUUGGGAAACGAUACUUGGACUUACCCAUUUUAUAUUACUUGAUAACGAUCUGGUAUACUUGCCAGGGACUUAACAAGCUUCUUCAAAAAUUCUUUAUAUUCAGGGAUUUGCUGCAAGGCCUUUGUCACAUGAACUUUUAUCCCCAAUUCUUUGAACAUCUCUUCAAAGCACCCUGCUUGUAUAUUUCUUGUAACAUGUUCUUCAGGGUGCUAGAUAUUUUUUUCACAAUUUUUUAUUUUCUUUUUUUCUCUCAACCUCUUCUUUCUUCUCAAUUGUUUUCUCACUCAAAAAUUCUUUUUCAUUCUCUUCUUUUUUCUCAUCCUCACUCAAUCUUUCUUUUUCUUUUCUCUCAAUUUUUUUAUCUCUUUUUUCACUCUCUUUUUCUUCCCUCUCUUUUUCUCUCAAAUCUUCCAUGCUUGCUAUAUCCCUGCAUUCUUCC
RNAcentral lists this long non-coding RNA (751 nucleotides) under Vigna radiata. RNAcentral's name for it is "long non-coding RNA (VRAD_LNC015868)". Lineage: Eukaryota; Viridiplantae; Streptophyta; Magnoliopsida; Fabales; Fabaceae. The record is from RNAcentral.